UUGUGAGGAACCUCUCUCUAAUUUUUUGGAGAGAAAUUUUCUCUCCCGCAUACCUUUUCUCCCCUGCGCCUAGGGCAUUUUUCGUUGUCGUUCAAGCGGUUUUCCCUACCCUACAAGCAGGGGGAGCUUUCUCUUUUCACCUAGUCGUGAGUUUGACUCUCCCCCACCCACUGGAUGGGUGUAAAUAUUUUCUUUUUGUGUUCUUUUGGCACAUCAAGCUUCAGAGUGUGAGAGUCUUCUAUGGAUCUGCCUCGUUGUGUGUUUUUGCUAGUUUUUCUGUGCUUUGUGUUUACUGCAUAUAGGUGUUAAUCUUCCUUUGGGCUGAGAUUACAAGUGGUGCUUCUGGUAAAAUCCUUGUGACCUGCUUUGUUUCUUGCAGCCAACAGUUUCUGUGCUUUGUGGGGGUCUACAUUUUAGCUGAUGGUAUCUUUUAUAGCCAGAUUAAUUCCAUUUAUGGCUGACUCUUAGCGUUCGGUCUGGCUUGCGAUGGCUUCAAUUUCCAUUGUCUGCGCUUCCCUUUGGCUUCUUGGGUUGCCUAGUUUGAUGGGUUGAAUGAGGAUCAUUUAGCCCUUGGUUUUUUCUUCCAGGCUUUGGCGAGGUGGUCUUGGUUGCCUUAUCUUAGUAUGGAAGAUGGUGUACGGCAUUUUUCUGGAUGCAGCCAGGUCGUAGCUUUUUCGAGUCUGCUAUUCAAGUCUCAAGACUUAGGCUUCAGUGUUUUUCUGGGCUUAGUUCUUUUAUUUGUAAUUAGGCUUCCUGUUUUUAUUUGGCCAAGGGCCUAGUCAUGUAUUGAUCUCAGCUUUUUUUUAAGUUAAUGAUAUCUAUAUCUUUUAAUAAAAAAAUAAUUAUUU
Hevea brasiliensis (rubber tree) is the source of this 848-nucleotide long non-coding RNA. RefSeq lists it as uncharacterized. The transcript is spliced from 2 exons. NCBI's taxonomy places the organism in Eukaryota, Viridiplantae, Streptophyta, Magnoliopsida, Malpighiales, Euphorbiaceae. The record is from RefSeq and is a predicted model, not a curated record.